CACCAAGUGUCAAUUCAAAGGUGUGGAAAGGAAACAAGACUGACAGUUUGUGGGGGAAGGGGCCAACUGGGAGUGGCAGUUGGGUCUUGUGACUGGCACUUCCUUCCUGCGGGGAGCGGGGGAUGGGCUGCCUGGUGUUGGGGGAGAGAGGACCUUGUUCAGCCUGUCUGAAGUGGCAUGCUUUUCUUGAUUCAGCCGGAAGAUUCAGGCUCAGUCGCUUCUGAAGGAAGCAAGGAAGAAAAACCUACAAAUUCAAUCUGCUUAAGUAUUUUUCAGAUCUGAUCAUUCAAAAUCUGAAAGCACUAAAGAAAAAGAAAAAGGAAGGAUGAAACAAAGAAAUAAAGAA
This 346-nucleotide long non-coding RNA is filed under the name Monodelphis domestica (gray short-tailed opossum). Its description in RNAcentral is "lncRNA (ENSMODG00000048146.1)". The record is from RNAcentral. Lineage: Eukaryota; Metazoa; Chordata; Mammalia; Didelphimorphia; Didelphidae.